This 250-nucleotide unclassified non-coding RNA is filed under the name plant metagenome. Its description in RNAcentral is "partial contains small subunit ribosomal RNA, internal transcribed spacer 1, and 5.8S ribosomal RNA". The record is from RNAcentral.
GUAGGUGAACCUGCGGAAGGAUCAUUAUCGUGGGGCUCCGGCCCCAACGAGAUAGAACCCUUGCCUUUUGAGUACCGUCCGUUUCCUCGGCAGGCCCGCCUGCCAAUGGGGACCCCCAAUAAACUCUUUAAUCACCUGUAUCAGCCUGAAAAAUAAACAAAAGUUAAAACUUUCAACAACGGAUCUCUUGGUUCUGGCAUCGAUGAAGAACGCAGCAUCUGACUGACUUGGGAUGCAUGCAUCUCGUAUG